This 68-nucleotide transfer RNA is filed under the name human gut metagenome. It matches the Rfam family "tRNA". From Rfam's summary of the family: Transfer RNA (tRNA) molecules are approximately 80 nucleotides in length. The record is from RNAcentral.
CGGUGUAGCUCAAUUGGCAGAGCAACUGAUUUGUAAUCAGUAGGUUGUGGGUUCGAUUCCAAUCACCG